Molecule: ribosomal RNA, 405 nt
Filed under: uncultured bacterium
Lineage: Bacteria
Description: bacterial SSU rRNA
Rfam family: Bacterial small subunit ribosomal RNA
Source: RNAcentral
UAGGGAAUCUUGCGCAAUGGGCGAAAGCCUGACGCAGCAACGCCGCGUGGGGGAUGAAUGCCUUCGGGUUGUAAACCCCUUUCAGCAGGGACGAAAAUGACGGUACCUGCAGAAGAAGCUCCGGCCAACUACGUGCCAGCAGCCGCGGUAAUACGUAGGGAGCGAGCGUUGUCCGGAAUUAUUGGGCGUAAAGAGCUCGUAGGCGGUUCAGUAAGUCGGGUGUGAAAACUCAAGGCUCAACCUUGAGACGCCACUCGAUACUGCUGUGACUUGAGUCCGGUAGAGGAGUGUGGAAUUCCUGGUGUAGCGGUGAAAUGCGCAGAUAUCAGGAGGAACACCAGCGGCGAAGGCGGCACUCUGGGCCGGUACUGACGCUGAGGAGCGAAAGCAUGGGGAGCAAACAGG